UUAUGGAUCUGUACAGCCCCCUAGGGACCGGGUACGAUUGCACAACCAGCCAGUCGCUGAUAUUCACUAUGUGGUCAGCGUUUCAGACAUUGUGCCGGUUUCGAAGCAUUUCCUCUUCCGCUGCCGAAUGCAGGAGUUGGUGUACAGUUAUUGUCUGAUGCCCUUGGCAGUUAUAUUCUAUGGCCGCGUGCAUUGGUGCGGUUAUCAGAUCAGGCCGACAGGAAGGGAAAGAAGGUAGCUUCACCUCAGGGAGGCCGACGUGCCCAAGUAAAUGUAUCUACGGCAAAGUCUCCACUCAUUACGGAUAUGGAGGUGGUGCAAGGCCUUACUCAACCGUGCUUCUGGCUACAUGAGUGCGUUAGCGAUGCAGACGAUGAAGCAAUGAUUGAGAUUAAGUUGUCGGACCACCAAUUCCACUACAUUGAGGAAACAUCGACCUUUAUUUCUAAGGCUAUUAUACAAUGAUUUGAGGCGAUCUAGUCAGCCAAUGUUUGGUUGGUUAUGUCCAAGCUUUGUACGAGAGAACAGUUGCGUAAAAAACGAAGAGGAGGUGAAAUCAUAUCUCAA
Molecule: long non-coding RNA, 567 nt
Organism: Beta vulgaris subsp. vulgaris (sugar beet)
Lineage: Eukaryota; Viridiplantae; Streptophyta; Magnoliopsida; Caryophyllales; Amaranthaceae
Exons: 3
Source: RefSeq, a predicted model, not a curated record